AGCCACAUCGCGCACCACCAGCGAGCCGUCGCACAGCGCCUCCAUCAUCUGCGACCAUGUUUUUCACCACCAUGCCGCCGUUCAACACCCAUAGCCGUCAGCCACCCUAAAGCCACCACCGUCAACCUUCAAGCCGCUGCCAGCCACCGUCGCCGGCGUGCUCGCCGACCAUCACGAAGCUUCACGCCACCACCCAAUCUUCCGUGAGCAAGCACCAGUCGAAAUUGCCGUCGCGAGUCUUCUUCCUCGCAGACCACCAUCCACCAUCGCGCAACCAUCAUCAUCACUUCAGCAGGCCACCGCC
This 304-nucleotide long non-coding RNA is filed under the name Vigna radiata. RNAcentral's name for it is "long non-coding RNA (VRAD_LNC018162)". Lineage: Eukaryota; Viridiplantae; Streptophyta; Magnoliopsida; Fabales; Fabaceae. The record is from RNAcentral.